CGGUAGAGGUUUCGUAUCCUACGCGUACGAGGACGAACGGCUGGCGGGCGUGCUUAACACAUGCAAGUCGAACGGUGAAGCGCCUUCCUUUUGGUGGGUGUGGAUGAGUGGCGAACGGGUGAGUAACACGUGAGUAACCUGCCCCCUUCUUCUGGAUAACCGCAUGAAAGUGUGGCUAAUACGGGAUAUUCUGGGUCUGUCGCAUGGUGGGUCCGGGAAAGGUUUUUUCUGGUGGGGGAUGGGCUCGCGGCCUAUCAGCUUGUUGGUGGGGUGAUGGCCUACCAAGGCGGUGACGGGUAGCCGGCCUGAGAGGGUGGACGGUCACACUGGGACUGAGACACGGCCCAGACUCCUACGGGAGGCAGCAGUGGGGAAUAUUGCACAAUGGGUGCAAGCCUGAUGCAGCGACGCCGCGUGAGGGAUGGAGGCCUUCGGGUUGUGAACCUCUUUUCGCCAGUGAAGCAGGCCUGCCCCUGGUGGGUGGGUUGACGGUAGCUGGAUAAGAAGCGCCGGCUAACUACGUG
Molecule: ribosomal RNA, 524 nt
Filed under: uncultured Actinomyces sp.
Lineage: Bacteria; Bacillati; Actinomycetota; Actinomycetes; Actinomycetales; Actinomycetaceae
Description: bacterial SSU rRNA
Rfam family: Bacterial small subunit ribosomal RNA
Source: RNAcentral